CUGCGGCAGCGACACUAUGUGUUGUUGGGUAGGGGAGCGUUCUGUAAGCCUGCGAAGGUGUGCUGUGAGGCAUGCUGGAGGUAUCAGAAGUGCGAAUGCUGACAUAAGUAACGAUAAAGCGGGUGAAAAGCCCGCUCGCCGGAAGACCAAGGGUUCCUGUCCAACGUUAAUCGGGGCAGGGUGAGUCGACCCCUAAGGCGAGGCCGAAAGGCGUAGUCGAUGGGAAACAGGUUAAUAUUCCUGUACUUGGUGUUACUGCGAAGGGGGGACGGAGAAGGCUAUGUUGGCCGGGCGACGGUUGUCCCGGUUUAAGCGUGUAGGCUGGUUUUCCAGGCAAAUCCGGAAAAUCAAGGCUGAGGCGUGAUGACGAGGCACUACGGUGCUGAAGCAACAAAUGCCCUGCUUCCAGGAAAAGCCUCUAAGCAUCAGGUAACAUCAAAUCGUACCCCAAACCGACACAGGUGGUCAGGUAGAGAAUACCAAGGCGCUUGAGAGAACUCGGGUGAAGGAACUAGGCAAAAUGGUGCCGUAACUUCGGGAGAAGGCACGCUGAUAUGUAGGUGAAGUCCCUCGCGGAUGGAGCUGAAAUCAGUCGAAGAUACCAGCUGGCUGCAACUGUUUAUUAAAAACACAGCACUGUGCAAACACGAAAGUGGACGUAUACGGUGUGACGCCUGCCCGGUGCCGGAAGGUUAAUUGAUGGGGUCAGCGCAAGCGAAGCUCUUGAUCGAAGCCCCGGUAAACGGCGGCCGUAACUAUAACGGUCCUAAGGUAGCGAAAUUCCUUGUCGGGUAAGUUCCGACCUGCACGAAUGGCGUAAUGAUGGCCAGGCUGUCUCCACCCGAGACUCAGUGAAAUUGAACUCGCUGUGAAGAUGCAGUGUACCCGCGGCAAGACGGAAAGACCCCGUGAACCUUUACUAUAGCUUGACACUGAACAUUGAGCCUUGAUGUGUAGGAUAGGUGGGAGGCUUUGAAGUGUGGACGCCAGUCUGCAUGGAGCCGACCUUGAAAUACCACCCUUUAAUGUUUGAUGUUCUAACGUUGACCCGUAAUCCGGGUUGCGGACAGUGUCUGGUGGGUAGUUUGACUGGGGCGGUCUCCUCCUAAAGAGUAACGGAGGAGCACGAAGGUUGGCUAAUCCUGGUCGGACAUCAGGAGGUUAGUGCAAUGGCAUAAGCCAGCUUGACUGCGAGCGUGACGGCGCGAGCAGGUGCGAAAGCAGGUCAUAGUGAUCCGGUGGUUCUGAAUGGAAGGGCCAUCGCUCAACGGAUAAAAGGUACUCCGGGGAUAACAGGCUGAUACCGCCCAAGAGUUCAUAUCGACGGCGGUGUUUGGCACCUCGAUGUCGGCUCAUCACAUCCUGGGGCUGAAGUAGGUCCCAAGGGUAUGGCUGUUCGCCAUUUAAAGUGGUACGCGAGCUGGGUUUAGAACGUCGUGAGACAGUUCGGUCCCUAUCUGCCGUGGGCGCUGGAGAACUGAGGGGGGCUGCUCCUAGUACGAGAGGACCGGAGUGGACGCAUCACUGGUGUUCGGGUUGUCAUGCCAAUGGCACUGCCCGGUAGCUAAAUGCGGAAGAGAUAAGUGCUGAAAGCAUCUAAGCACGAAACUUGCCCCGAGAUGAGUUCUCCCUGACUCCUUGAGAGUCCUGAAGGAACGUUGAAGACGACGACGUUGAUAGGCCGGGUGUGUAAGCGCAGCGAUGCGUUGAGCUAACCGGUACUAAUGAACCGUGAGGCUUAACCUUACAACGCCGAAG
RNAcentral lists this ribosomal RNA (1758 nucleotides) under Escherichia coli. RNAcentral describes it as "partial 23S ribosomal RNA". It matches the Rfam family "Bacterial large subunit ribosomal RNA", at positions 1200 to 2925 of the family's 2925-position model. Lineage: Bacteria; Pseudomonadati; Pseudomonadota; Gammaproteobacteria; Enterobacterales; Enterobacteriaceae. The record is from RNAcentral.